GCUGAGGUGGCGGAGCGGUCAAUCGCAAGAGACUGUAAAUCUCUCGUCCGGAAGGACUACUCAGGUUCGAAUCCUGACCUCAGCACCC
RNAcentral lists this transfer RNA (88 nucleotides) under Candidatus Woesebacteria bacterium RIFOXYA1_FULL_43_16. Its description in RNAcentral is "tRNA-Tyr". It matches the Rfam family "tRNA". Rfam says of the family: Transfer RNA (tRNA) molecules are approximately 80 nucleotides in length. Their secondary structure includes four short double-helical elements and three loops (D, anti-codon, and T loops). Lineage: Bacteria; Candidatus Woeseibacteriota. The record is from RNAcentral. RNAcentral also lists the same sequence under 3 other names.